GAUGAACGCUGGCGGCGUGCCUAAUACAUGCAAGUCGAGCGAACGGACGAGAAGCUUGCUUUUCUGAUGUUAGCGGCGGACGUGUGAGUAACACGUGGAUAACCUACCUAUAAGACUGGGAUAACUUCGGGAAACCGGAGCUAAUACCGGAUAAUAUUUUGAACCGCAUGGUUCAAAAGUGAAAGACGGUCUUUCUGUCACUUAUAGAUGGAUCCGCGCUGCAUUAGCUAGUUGGUAAGGUAACGGCUUACCAAGGCAACGAUGCAUAGCCGACCUGAGAGGGUGGUCGGCCACCCUGGAACUGAGACACGGUCCAGACGCCUACGGGAGGCAGCAGUAGGGAAUCUUACGCAAUGGGCGAAAGCAUGACGGAGCAACGCCGCGUGAGUGAUGAAGGUCUUCGGAUCGUAAAACUCUGUUAUUAGGGAAGAACAUAUGUGUAAGUAACUGUGCACAUCUUGACGGUACCUAAUCAGAAAGCCACGGCUAACUACGUG
Molecule: ribosomal RNA, 497 nt
Filed under: uncultured bacterium
Lineage: Bacteria
Description: partial 16S ribosomal RNA
Rfam family: Bacterial small subunit ribosomal RNA
Source: RNAcentral